Molecule: ribosomal RNA, 497 nt
Filed under: uncultured bacterium
Lineage: Bacteria
Description: partial 16S ribosomal RNA
Rfam family: Bacterial small subunit ribosomal RNA
Source: RNAcentral
GAUGAACGCUGGCGGCGUGCCUAAUACAUGCAAGUCGAGCGAACAGACGAGGAGCUUGCUCCUUUGACGUUAGCGGCGGACGGGUGAGUAACACGUGGAUAACCUACCUAUAAGACUGGGAUAACUUCGGGAAACCGGAGCUAAUACCGGAUAAUAUAUUGAACCGCAUGGUUCAAUAGUGAAAGACGGUUUUGCUGUCACUUAUAGAUGGAUCCGCGCCGCAUUAGCUAGUUGGUAAGGUAACGGCUUACCAAGGCAACGAUGCGUAGCCGACCUGAGAGGGUGAUCGGCCACACUGGAACUGAGACACGGUCCAGACUCCUACGGGAGGCAGCAGUAGGGAAUCUUCCGCAAUGGGCGAAAGCCUGACGGAGCAACGCCGCGUGAGUGAUGAAGGUCUUCGGAUCGUAAAGCUCUGUUAUUAGGGAAGAACAGAUGUGUGAGUAACUAUGCACGUCUUGACGGUACCUAAUCAGAAAGCCACGGCUAACUACGUG